Molecule: long non-coding RNA, 1009 nt
Organism: Homalodisca vitripennis (glassy-winged sharpshooter)
Lineage: Eukaryota; Metazoa; Arthropoda; Insecta; Hemiptera; Cicadellidae
Exons: 5
Source: RefSeq, a predicted model, not a curated record
ACAGCGUGGGUUAGCUCUGUGUCAGCUCAGAAUAAGUACAAUGCUAUUUUUAUUUAGCCUGUGCUCAGUGUCAAUUGAACAGUUGUGAGUAAAUGUUUUGUGUUGGAAGAGACUUGUGCUAACGCUACGUUUAUAUUUAUAACACAGUUAUUAUGUUGCUACGGUGACUACGACUUUGGUCUAAGAGGCCGACUGUGGCGAUUGGAUUACACUUCAAACAACUUUUUUGUUCGUAUACGAUUACAGCUGAUGAAAUGGCGCUGAUACGAUUCUGCUGUUGCUGCUUUAGCUUAAGAUCUUUGAUGUUGUUGUUGGGUUGGUCACAAGCAUUCUGUACGUAUUUCUGGGAGGCAGUGUCAUUCAAACCAUCGCUGCUGCAUUCCUGCUGUAUGGAGUUUAUAGGAGAAAGAGUCUCUACGUACUGGAGUAUGUGAAGCUGGAAACUGUGAUCCACAUCGCGUCUCUUAUUGAGUUGUUCCUCGUCUUCAUUUUGGAGCACUCCAUAAUAUCAAGUGUAGACACCUUCACCUUCGUGGGGUUUCUCGCUCUGAAUUACGGUCUAGCGGCAUACUACCUCCUGGCAGCAUACAGCUACUAUAGAAUCAUUACUGAAGAAGACGUCUACACACCGUUAAUACAGACGUGAUCUCUGUGAAACCAUUAUCAAGAGACAUGUUGCGUUCCUUGUGAUAGGUUAUUAGUAUUUCGAACUAUUACAGUGUACUGAUCUACCCUAGUUAUACGUAAUUAUAUUACAGUGGAUUUACCACAAUCAAUACCGGUAGGGAGUGUGAUAUGUGAGUGUCCAGAUUUGUGAGAACUUCAUUAGAGUGUUACUUUUUUGUGAUAUUUAUGAAAAAUGAUAACUUAAUUGUUUAUUUUAAUAGUAUUUUAUAAUACUGUACAUGACUACUACUUUAUCUCACAAUAAUACGCAAAGGAAUAUAUGAUUGAAUGUAAUUUAAUUUUAUCCAUUAAAAUAUAUUUUUGUAUAAGAAUUGUAUAUUUA